RNAcentral lists this unclassified non-coding RNA (179 nucleotides) under soil metagenome. RNAcentral describes it as "partial contains 5.8S ribosomal RNA, internal transcribed spacer 2, and large subunit ribosomal RNA". The record is from RNAcentral.
AAGACUAUAGACCUGCGGAGUACCUGCGGAAGGAUCAUUACAAAUCUGAUUGUGGCUCUAUUUCCUUGCGAGAUAGAGUUUACAUAUGCACAGUGCCGCAAGGUGCUGAUGUUCACGCUUGUUUGUUUGACAGAGUUAUUUGUUACCAUAAAAUUGACAACUUUUAACAAUGGAUCUCU